Molecule: ribosomal RNA, 435 nt
Filed under: Enterococcus sp.
Lineage: Bacteria; Bacillati; Bacillota; Bacilli; Lactobacillales; Enterococcaceae
Description: bacterial SSU rRNA
Rfam family: Bacterial small subunit ribosomal RNA
Source: RNAcentral
CAUUAUGAGAGUUUGAUCCUGGCUCAGGACGAACGCUGGCGGCGUGCCUAAUACAUGCAAGUCGAACGCUUUUUCUUUCACCGGAGCUUGCUCCACCGAAAGAAAAAGAGUGGCGAACGGGUGAGUAACACGUGGGUAACCUGCCCAUCAGAAGGGGAUAACACUUGGAAACAGGUGCUAAUACCGUAUAACACUAUUUUCCGCAUGGAAGAAAGUUGAAAGGCGCUUUUGCGUCACUGAUGGAUGGACCCGCGGUGCAUUAGCUAGUUGGUGAGGUAACGGCUCACCAAGGCAACGAUGCAUAGCCGACCUGAGAGGGUGAUCGGCCACACUGGGACUGAGACACGGCCCAGACUCCUACGGGAGGCAGCAGUAGGGAAUCUUCGGCAAUGGACGAAAGUCUGACCGAGCAACGCCGCGUGAGUGAAGAAGGUU